Notolabrus celidotus (New Zealand spotty) is the source of this 871-nucleotide long non-coding RNA. RefSeq lists it as uncharacterized. The transcript is spliced from 3 exons. NCBI's taxonomy places the organism in Eukaryota, Metazoa, Chordata, Actinopteri, Labriformes, Labridae. The record is from RefSeq and is a predicted model, not a curated record.
GUUCCCUCGUCGUUUUGUUCCAGCUUUCUUGGACCGAUGAGAAAACAGCGGAGCUGAUUUAUCUCUGCUCGGAAAUUUACUUCCUCCUCAUGGGGAAGAGGCACAAUGCCAAGAAAGCCUGGACGUGAGUUGUCAGUUUUGGUGUAUCAUGUUGACCAACAGAAACACCUGAGCUCAGUCAUCCAUGCACUGUCGAGAUAAAGUUACCUUUGAAGGUUGUGGUAUAUUCCGGCAUUUUUAGUCAGAAAUCCCCUUUGACUGACAUUAAACUCAUAUUGUAAGUGACAGUACAAAGGAUGAAAUAGACUGACCUAAUAUUUUGCCUUACAUUGAAAUUAUCCAGCUUCUUGGCCUAGAGGGGCAAGUCUCCAUAAAGUGUCAAAGAAAUGGGACAACCUAAAAAAGAAGUAUAUGGAGCUGAGGAAUCCCCCUACAGAAACAGGGACUGACAGGGGGGAGGCCACGACUGCAACUUGGCCAUGGUUUUCCCUCAUGCAUGAGGCCACUGGGGCGUAGCUCUGCAUUGAGCUGCCGGUCCUGAUGGACUCACAUGUGUGCAGGAAAGCCAUGAGCCCGAAGCUGCCAUGGCCUCCACACAUGGCUCAUCAUCUGCAGUUUGUCACCGGGCUCGUGACGAGGAGGAAGAGGAACAGCCUGGCACAAGCUGUGGAUCCAGCACACAGGCAGAUGAUGGGCAAUCAACCUCUUCCUGCCCCCCCGCCUAAAAAAGGGCAACAAGAGGGGAUCUGCUGCAGAAGGAGGAUGAACGCUUCAAGGCAGCAAAAUAAGCUACAACAAUUUUUAAACUUUUACAGGAUUUAGUUUAAAAAUAACAUUUUAUUAAGUAAAAUUUAAUUUCUGUCUUUAUGUU